This 75-nucleotide antisense RNA is filed under the name Streptomyces monashensis. Its description in RNAcentral is "Streptomyces sp. MUSC 1 ASpks TB sRNA". It matches the Rfam family "ASpks TB sRNA". Lineage: Bacteria; Bacillati; Actinomycetota; Actinomycetes; Kitasatosporales; Streptomycetaceae. The record is from Rfam by way of RNAcentral.
CUUGGCGGAGCCCAGCAACAGGGGUUCGCCCGCCGGGCGCCCGCGGCCGUAGGUGGCGAACAGCGCCUGGGCCUC